This 478-nucleotide ribosomal RNA is filed under the name uncultured bacterium. RNAcentral describes it as "partial 16S ribosomal RNA". It matches the Rfam family "Bacterial small subunit ribosomal RNA", at positions 28 to 523 of the family's 1533-position model. The record is from RNAcentral.
GACGAACGCUGGCGGCGUGCUUAACACAUGCAAGUCGAACGGUAAGGCCCUUCGGGGUACACGAGUGGCGAACGGGUGAGUAACACGUGGGUGAUCUGCCCUGCACUUCGGGAUAAGCCUGGGAAACUGGGUCUAAUACCGGAUAGGACUCCUGGCUUCAUGGUUGGGGGGGGAAAGCUUUUGGGGUGUGGGAUGGGGCCGCGGCCUAUCAGCUUGUUGGUGGGGUAAUGGCCUACCAAGGCGACGACGGGUAGCCGGCCUGAGAGGGUGACCGGUCACACUGGGACUGAGAUACGGCCCAGACUCCUACGGGAGGCAGCAGUGGGGAAUAUUGCACAAUGGGCGCAAGCCUGAUGCAGCGACGCCGCGUGAGGGAUGACGGCCUUCGGGUUGUAAACCUCUUUCAGCUAUGACGAAGCGCAAGUGACGGUAGUAGCAGAAGAAGGACCGGCCAACUACGUGCCAGCAGCCGCCGUAA